AGACUGUACAAGAAGCAUGACACCAGCAUCUGGUUUUGAUGAGAAUUUGAGGCUGCUUCCACUCAUGGUGAAAGGCAAAAUGGAGCCAGCAUGUGGAAAGAUCAUAUUGCAAAAGAGGAAGCAAGAGAGAGGAGGAGAGACUCUAUUAAGGAUAUAUUUUCAAAAAGCAAAACAGCCUCACACAACAAAAUGAAUAAGAGAGAGCCAUGGGGGAUUUUAAUGCACGUGUAGAAUUCAGAAGGUGGAAAGAGUAAUGUCAAGUGAUGAAGUAGGGGGAGAAAGACACCACCUGGAAAAGUGGGAACUUCAAGCUUGAAUGUGAGCAGGACACUGCAGCAUAGGAAGUAGCUGACCUGCCUGGAAAAAUCAAGAAAGGCUCUGGAUUCAAAAAGGAGGGGGGAAAAAGAUGUCUUCAAAACUUUAACCAUCAAGGAACUCAAGAAACUGAUGAGCAGAUGUAUGGUCUAGGCAAGGCUUCCAGGACUCCACAAACCACACCACACAGGGACAACAGGAAACAGAGCUUUCUACUCUCUUACAGAAAUCUGCCUCUCCUUUCCUUCCCACUGGAGGCCUCUUGUUGGUUGGAGCCCAUGCUGAGUGGCCAUUGUGUAUAUUCCAGAAGCAGUAACAGCAGCAUCUGUGUAGUGCCCGGCAGGUAUCAGACUUUCCCUCAUGUGGAAGGGGCAUUGGACAACUUGUCUUAUCAUAACAUAUUACUCACAUCCAAGUUUUUUUCAGAAUUCACUAUUAAUGCAUAUAAUUUCUGAGCUGCAGUGAAAUGUGCCUUCCUUAUAGAAGCAGUAGGAGAGAAGCCAGGCAGUAGUCCCCCAUUACCCACGGGGGAUACAUUUCAAGACACCCCAGUGGAUGCUUGAAACAGUUGGUAGUACCAAACCCUUAUAUAUACUGUUUUUUCCUAUACACACAUACCUAUGAUCAAGUUCAAUUUAUAAAUUAAGCAUAGUACUCUUGUGCUUUGGGGCCAUGAUUAAGUAAAAUAAGGGUGACUUGAACACAAGCACUGCUAUACUGCACAAUCAGUCUGAUAACCAAGAUGGCUGCUAAGUGGCUAAUGGGCAGGUAGUGUAUGUAGUGUGGAUAUACUGGACAAAGGGGUGAUUCAUGCCCAGAGAGGAUGAAGCAGGAUGGAAUGAGAUUUCAUCACACUACUCAAAAUGGCACGCAAUUUAAAACUUAUGAAUUAUUUAUCUCUGGAAUUUUCCAUUUCAUAUUUUUGGGCCACAGUUGACUUCGGGCAAUUGAAACCACAGAAAGUGAAACCACAGAUAAGGUGAGGACUACUGUACGUGGAGCCCAACCACAGACUUGCCGGGCUUCCAGGAGGAAGUGGAAUCUCCAUACCAGGGAAAGCCCCCUGCUUCCUUCUCCAGGGAAGACUCAGAGAAGUUUUUUGUUAUACAAGGAGAUUCAGAGAAGUUUUUCACGUAGACAAUAUUCUCUUGGUCUCCAAGCCCUGUGCAACCCACUCCAUGGGCCUGGAAUCUUCUUCCCAUGGUCCCUUUGAAUCCAGAUUCAAUUUAGGUGCGUGUACACCCAGACCCCCGCCUUGACUGUCUCCAGUCUGGUUAGGGUGCCUACAGUGAACACUCAUAGAAGCUACACUAAUGAUAUUUAAUACUCUGUCUGGGAAGGACCUGAAUUGCCUUCUUUUUCUACCAAAACAGCAAGAUUCUUGAAGACAUGAUCCAUGCCAUAUUGUUUUUUGUUUUGAGACAGGGUCUUGCUCUGUCACCCAGGCUGGAGUGCAGUGGCAACAUCCUAGCUUACUGCAACCUAGAACUCCUGGGCUCAAGUGAUCCUACUUCCUCAGCCUCCAAAAGUGCGGGGAUUGCAGGUGUGAGCUACCAUGCCCAGCUUAUUGUUUUCUCUUCAGAGCCUAGCAUGGGCCUGGCACUAAAUAAGUGGUUUAUAGGUGAGAGAAUGAAUGAAUGGCCACAUAGGAAGUAAGGACCUGAUCUCUUCAGACUCUGAAAAUGAGGGAGAAAAAGGAAAAAGAAGAUAAUAAUUCCACAACUGUUUUUCCAGAGUUGAAAAAGAGGUGGUUUUAUUAGGUUUUCUACAUUAAGAUCAACCCUCAACUCAUCUAUUCUAUCCUAUCCCACAUGAUUAUUGGGCAAUGAAGCCAUUUUAUGACAUUUUCCAAAAAGGAAUGGGUGAACCACUCAGCUGAGGGCAGGAGGCCAGGAUUUUAUUCACAGAAAUGUGGGUGAGAUAAAGUUUUAUUAAAUAGUAGUAUAAGUGGGUAAAACCCACUUUAUUAUUAUUUCAUGGCAGUUUCUGGCUUU
Piliocolobus tephrosceles (Ugandan red Colobus) is the source of this 2309-nucleotide long non-coding RNA. RefSeq lists it as uncharacterized. The transcript has 3 exons. NCBI's taxonomy places the organism in Eukaryota, Metazoa, Chordata, Mammalia, Primates, Cercopithecidae. The record is from RefSeq and is a predicted model, not a curated record.